Molecule: long non-coding RNA, 1561 nt
Filed under: Marmota monax (woodchuck)
Lineage: Eukaryota; Metazoa; Chordata; Mammalia; Rodentia; Sciuridae
Source: RNAcentral
UUAUGAUCCUCCUACCUUAGCCACCCAAGUCCCUGGGAUUUUAGGUGCGUGCCACUGUGCCCUGCGUCAUGUUUGUGUACUUUGUAAAUUACACACAGAACAACAAACUGAAGCUAAGUUUAUAACAAGCUAAGUGAAGAAAAGUCAUCGGUCAUUUGAAUCUUAUAUAUUUCAGUGCCCUCUGGAAAGAAUCAUUAGCAAUAUUCAUCUCUAAUAAAAUAACAUAAUUGAUGGUCCUGGCUUUAUUAAUGUUGCCAAAUCAUCAUUCAGUACAAACCAGGCAUGCUUUUGCUGUGGCGAAAGGAGUCUGCUCUGGCAUUUAGACCUGUGUGUUUGUGUAAGUGGGGGCACAUAAUCAUUCAUGUGGAUUGUUGUGAUAUUUUGAAUCAGAUACACUGGAGGAAGUCUCAGUAACUAAACUUCAUGGAGAUUACUGCAUAGUGGAUAAUAUUUGGUUUCCUCUAUACUUGAUAAAGGCCAAAAUCAAGGUAAACAUAAUAAUCUAUCACAAGGUUGGCCAGCAUUUCCAUGAAAUACCAGUUAGUGAAUCUUUUCAACCUUGUGGGCCAUGUUGCCUCUGUCACCACCAAGACAAUACAAAGUGCAUAGGUGUACAGUAUUCCAGUAAAACUUUAUUUACACCAUGUAUGAUAGCACAUGCCUGUGAACCCAGUGACUCAGGAGGCUGAAGCAGGAAGAUCAAAAGCCAGCCUGGGCAACUUAGCGAGAUCCUGUCUCAAAAUAAAAAGAUAGGGGGAGCUGGAUAUGUUACUCAGUGACAGAGCACUUGCCUAACGUGCAAACCUCAAAAAGCAAACACACACACAAGCAAAAAUCCACUUCAUUUACAAAAACAAAUGGCCAGACUCAAGUUUGCCAACCCUUAAUUUGUCAAUCCACAAGUUAAAUUUAUCCUGUGGUAAAGGUACUCUUCCGUGAAGACUUGAGUCAAGGAAUGUAGUAACCUGAAAGCGGUAGAUGAGUUGGAGUUUUGUCUAGUGCAAUGAAGAUAAAAUGUACAUUGAAGUCAUUGUCAGAUUAACAAACUUCUUUAGCCCAAGAAUUUUUUAAGCAGGCAGCAAGUUCAUUUCUAGGUUUACAAUCAGUCCUCUGGUGUAUGAUUCCUAUCCUUGAAGUUAACCAUCAAAAGUAAACCAUUAAGUUAUUCUUGAUUUUGUUUGUUUGUUUUGUUGCCUUAGUUAUCACGUGAAGGUAAAUAAAAAGACCAAGGUCCCCAAAGUAUGCGCUGUGUGUGUGUGUGUGUGUGUGUGUGAGAGAGAGAGAGAGAAUGUGUGUGUGAUGCUGGAGUAGAACCCAGGACCUCACACACACUCUGAAAAUGCUCUACUACUGAGCUACAUCCCCAGCCCCUCCACAGCACGCUUUGGAGCAGAAUCUUUGGCCACUGUAAUGGCGGGCAUGUCAUCUCCUGACAUCAGAAUAGCAACCCUUUUGUACUUGGUCAUUUAAAAAAAAAAAAAAAAAAACUUUUCAUUUAAAAUGUACUGUACAUUGUACACAUUAAUUAUAUAACAAUAUACUAUGUCACCACCUAAAUAAC